Molecule: unclassified non-coding RNA, 345 nt
Filed under: soil metagenome
Description: partial contains 5.8S ribosomal RNA, internal transcribed spacer 2, and large subunit ribosomal RNA
Rfam family: 5.8S ribosomal RNA (bases 1-120)
Source: RNAcentral
GAUGAAGAACGUAGCGAAAUGCGAUACGUAAUGUGAAUUGCAGAAUUCAGUGAAUCAUCGAGUCUUUGAACGCACAUUGCGCCCCCUGGUAUUCCGGGGGGCAUGCCUGUCCGAGCGUCAUUGCUGCCCUCAAGCACGGCUUGUGUGUUGGGCCUCCGUCCUCCUCCCGGGGGACGGGCCCGAAAGGCAGCGGCGGCACCGCGUCCGGUCCUCGAGCGUAUGGGGCUUCGUCACCCGCUCUUGUAGGCCCGGCCGGCGCUUGCCGACACAUCAAUCUUUUUUCCAGGUUGACCUCGGAUCGGGUAGGGAUACCCGCUGAACUUAAGCAUAUCAAUAAGCGGAGGA